AACGAACGCUGGCGGCAUGCCUAACACAUGCAAGUCGAACGAGACCUUCGGGUCUAGUUGCGCACGUGUGCGUAACGCGUGGUAACCUGCCCUUAGGUUCGGAAUAACUCCCCGAAAGGGGUGCUAAUACCGGAUAAUGUCUUCGGACCAAAGAUUUAUCGCCUUUGGAUGGGCCCGCGUUGGAUUAGCUAGUUGGUAGGGUAAAAGCCUACCAAGGCGACGAUCCGUAGCUGGUCUGAGAGGGUGAUCAGCCACACUGGGGCUGGGACACGGCCCAGACUCCUACGGGAGGAAGGAGUGGGGAAUAUUGGACGAUGGGCGAAAGCCUGAUCCAGCAAUGCGGGGUGAGUGAUGAAGGCCUGAGGGUUGUAAAGCUCUUUUACCAGGGAUGAUAAUGACAGUACCGGGAGAAUAAGCUCCGGCUAACUACGUG
Molecule: ribosomal RNA, 433 nt
Filed under: uncultured bacterium
Lineage: Bacteria
Description: partial 16S ribosomal RNA
Rfam family: Bacterial small subunit ribosomal RNA
Source: RNAcentral